AUACGUAGGUGGCGAGCGUUGUCCGGAAUGACUGGGCGUAAAGGGUGCGUAGGCGGCUUGACAAGUUGGAAGUGUAAUACCCGGGCUUAACUUGGGUGCUACUUCCAAGACUGCCGAGCUUGAGUGUGGGAGAGGUAAGCGGAAUUCCUAGUGUAGCGGUGAAAUGCGUAGAUAUUAGGAGGAACACCGGCGGCGAAGGCGGCUUACUGGACCAUAACUGACGCUGAGGCACGAAAGCGUGGGGAGCAAACAGGAUUAGAUACCCUGGUAGUCCACGCUGUAAACGAUGGAUACAAGGUGUAGGGGGUAUCGACGCCCUCUGUGCCGACGCUAACGCAGUAAGUAUCCCGCCUGGGGAGUACGGCCGCAAGGCUAAA
RNAcentral lists this ribosomal RNA (377 nucleotides) under uncultured bacterium. Its description in RNAcentral is "bacterial SSU rRNA". It matches the Rfam family "Bacterial small subunit ribosomal RNA", at positions 523 to 898 of the family's 1533-position model. The record is from RNAcentral.